UACGGAGGGUGCAAGCGUUGUCCGGAUUUAUUGGGUUUAAAGGGUGCGUAGGCGGCCCGGUAAGUCAGUGGUGAAAGCCUCCAGCUCAACUGGAGAACUGCCAUUGAUACUGCCGGGCUUGAGUACAGACGAGGUUGGCGGAAUUGAUUGUGUAGCGGUGAAAUGCGUAGAGAUCGGAAGGAACACCAGUGGCGAAGGCGGCUACCUGGACAAAUACUGACGCUGAGGCGCGAGAGCGUGGGGAGCAAACAGG
This 253-nucleotide ribosomal RNA is filed under the name uncultured bacterium. Its description in RNAcentral is "partial 16S ribosomal RNA". It matches the Rfam family "Bacterial small subunit ribosomal RNA", at positions 524 to 776 of the family's 1533-position model. The record is from RNAcentral.